UACGGAGGGUGCAAGCGUUACUCGGAAUCACUGGGCGUAAAGAGCGCGUAGGCGGGAUAGCAAGUCAGAUGUGAAAUCCUAUGGCUUAACCAUAGAACUGCAUUUGAAACUGUUAUUCUAGAGUAUGGGAGAGGUAGGUGGAAUUCUUGGUGUAGCGGUGAAAUGCGUAAAUAUAUGUAAGAACACCGGUGGCGAAGGCGGCUUGCUGGGCCUGUACUGACAUUGAGGCACGAAAGCGUGGGGAGCAAACAGG
RNAcentral lists this ribosomal RNA (253 nucleotides) under uncultured bacterium. RNAcentral describes it as "partial 16S ribosomal RNA". It matches the Rfam family "Bacterial small subunit ribosomal RNA", at positions 524 to 776 of the family's 1533-position model. The record is from RNAcentral.